CCGCCCCGACUUUAAAAACCUCCCCGGUCCGGCCCCGGGGUUUGAUCAGCUGAGAACAACCUCUGAUUGACAACCCCUGAAACCCUGUCUCUAUGGAAACCGUCUCAGCGGCGCCGCGAGGGCUGGCUCGAGGGCUGCUGUGAAUGAGGUGACGUCACGGCUCCGGCGCCAGAAAGUCUGCUCCAGAGAGAGAGCGAGAGAGAGAGAAGGGAAGAGAGAGAGAGGCAGGGGUAAGGCUGAGGCUGCAGCCGGUGGAGGCUCGCGCAGCCCUGCACCGACGUGCUCUUGCGCCAAUUCAUCACCUGCCUGUCAGGCAUCAGUCAGUGCGCGUCCAGAGAAAUGUACACAGCUGCGGCAGCGAGGGGAAGACGAGGAGAAGAUGGAAAAAUCCGAUUGCAGCAGAUGUGGACACAGACUGCAGGAGGAGCAGAUUAUAUUAGAAAUGCAUAAAAAUCAGGAGCGUCAGACAGCUGAGGUAGAGGGUGUCCGCGUGCUGAGGAGAGCUGCUUGUAAAAGGAGAAACAUGAAGAGUGUUUUGCAGGAUUUUGUUAAGAUCCUGACGCGAAAUCUCGAUUAUAUUGAAUAUUUGAGGCAACUUUCCUUCUCCCUCGAUGUUCGCUAUAAUCCAACAUGUUUGUGCUUCAGACUAAGCAAUCCAAAGUGCGUAUUUUUUGUCCAUUAGGAUUAAUUCUGCUUUUAGGAUUUCUUUGUUUUUCUCUUUCAGCCGAGUUGCCUUUAAAAUAAACCAAAAAACACCACUUCUAUAAUCUUUCCCCUCUUUAAAUUCUCCCUCCAUUCUGUGUUAUACCAACGACCAGCGCUUCUCCUCUUUUAAACAGUGCUAUUAUGUUAUCCAUACAGAAAAAGAGACAUCUAACAAAUCACAACAAUCCAUAACAGCCCCUGGGGGCAAUUAGUUAGUGGCAGCAUCAAAGAAGCCCCCCUCUCCACCAAACCAACCUCCUCCAGCUGAAGAAUGAAGCGUGUAAUUCCUACAAACAAACGACUCAUUCAGAAAACAUUAAAAUGUCAAUAGCGGUUAAUCAAGUCUUCACGUGCCCAGAUAUGAAAGGCACAUUUGAGCGUGACCAAAUGAACUUUGACAUGCAACAUACUCAGGUAGCGAUUAACAUUGAACUGUUCAGACCUUAACUGAUGUAUUUAGUGAGUAUAAAAGGGCAGGGGCACAUGGCUUUUUAGGUAAAAAUGUCACUUUUCUGAAAGAAGCUUGGUGCGUAAAUACGCUUAGACGCAUUUAAAUGCUAAAUUAGUUUUAAAACAAAUCAGCAAGGGAAAAACAUGAGUCUUUUCCCUACCUGUUUAUUCUUGACAAACACAACAGGCUCUUCUGAGAACCGAAUCCCCACAUGCGUAAAAUUAAAGAACCAUCCUAUCUCGAGCUCUAAUAGUCCCCUAAGUUUCAUUUUCUCAUGCGUAAAAAUACUUAAACAUGAAUUGGUCUGAUUUUGCUUGGACCACUCUGUUGUUUACAGCUGUUUCAGUCUCGGCACAAACAUUUCUGUGUUUUCAGUGACAGAAACUUGCCUCCACACCGGUCCAGGCUGGAGGGAAUUAAGAAUGAUCAGACGCGCCUGUUGUGGUCCCCA
This 1607-nucleotide long non-coding RNA is filed under the name Xyrichtys novacula (pearly razorfish). Lineage: Eukaryota; Metazoa; Chordata; Actinopteri; Labriformes; Labridae. The record is from RNAcentral.